RNAcentral lists this ribosomal RNA (253 nucleotides) under uncultured bacterium. RNAcentral describes it as "partial 16S ribosomal RNA". It matches the Rfam family "Bacterial small subunit ribosomal RNA", at positions 524 to 776 of the family's 1533-position model. The record is from RNAcentral.
UACGUAGGGUGCAAGCGUUAAUCGGAAUUACUGGGCGUAAAGCGUGCGCAGGCGGUUGUGUAAGUCUGUCGUGAAAUCCCCGGGCUCAACCUGGGAAUUGCGAUGGAGACUGCACGGCUAGAAUCUGGCAGAGGGGGGUAGAAUUCCACGUGUAGCAGUGAAAUGCGUAGAGAUGUGGAGGAACACCGAUGGCGAAGGCAGCCCCCUGGGUCAAGAUUGACGCUCAUGCACGAAAGCGUGGGGAGCAAACAGG